Long non-coding RNA from Vitis riparia (riverbank grape), 364 nucleotides. RefSeq lists it as uncharacterized. The record is from RefSeq and is a predicted model, not a curated record. NCBI's taxonomy places the organism in Eukaryota, Viridiplantae, Streptophyta, Magnoliopsida, Vitales, Vitaceae. The transcript is spliced from 3 exons.
AUCAAAAUGCAUCUCCUUCCAUUUAUGGUACAUGCAUGAUCAACUACAUAUUGCCAAAAAGGAAUCACAAUUUAUAUUUGUUAAUCCUUUUACAAUAUCAUGAGCAGGCUUUAGUAAUCCUCAAAUAGAGAAAAGAACACAAUUGUUGUCAAAACACUUAAUAGAGUGCCAAGAUGUCGGAUAUGUUUUCAUGCCCUACAACCCCGACUUUCAUUGGGUCUUGGUAGUGAUUGAGCCAAGGAAAAUGAUAGUCCACUAUCUUGACCCUGUGCAUCACGAACCAUGUGAGGACUUAAAGGAUAUCGUAAACAUGUAAGUUCUUCCUAUUAUUGUUCAUAGUAUUAUUUAAAAAAAAAAUUACAUU